GCUUUAUAAUCCUAACCAUUUCACUCCACACUUUAAACAUCUGUUAUCAGCCAUUUCCCCUUUAUUCUUCACCUCUUCUCUAAAUCUUCCCAUCAACUUCCUGUUCCAACUGAAAACUGGUUUACCACCUGACAAAACUACCCUCUUUGCAACUUUUCAAGUGAGGAGCUUAUUUUUUUCUCUCACAGGUAUUCUCAUCUUCCAACCUGCUCCUCAUGUUGCCUCCAAAUCAUUUCUCCUUCCUUCCUCCUUCAAAAACCCAAGCUGUUUUAAAGUUAACACCAAUUGCCACUAUACCAAGAUGCUGUCACCUACUGAUCCCUGAGAUCUACAACGUCCAUUCCACAACAAUGGCUGGAAGAAUCCAUGGGGACUGUAUGUGGCUUCCUGAAAAAAGUGAUAUCCCCACCCUCCACCCCCGUUUUCCCGAAGCAAUGGGAGAUUCGGAACUAAUUCUAGGUUGCGGAAAAAUCUUUUCUGGAAGAAGUAAAAAGGAAAAAUAAAAGAUGAUCUGAAGGGAAAUUUUAUUUUAUUUAUUUUAAAUUUUUUGUGAGGACGAUUGGCCCUGCUUGAGGAAGAUCUGCGCCCAGGAUCUGAAGCUGUGAACCCCAGGCCAGCAAAGUGGAGCACGCAAACUUAACCACUACGCCACCAGGCCAGCCUCGUGUAAACGCUAUUCUUGUCAAAAAACUAAAGAGAAACUCCCUUCAUACCCCAGUCUUCAAGUGAUUUCCAUGGAGCUGAAAUGGUUUGGAGGAGAGAAGCAACUAUAUAGACAAGUUUUUAAAGUUUGGGAUGAUCUCAUUUGGGGAUGAAAAAGACGGCUGUGCACUGAGAAUUUCCCACAGAUUAUCUCUAUUUGGGAAAAAAUAUAAGCUGAUAUUGUCUUUAUUUUAGGUUACUGAAAGAUGAGCCACAUCUAAAUAUAUUCUAUUCAUUCAAUUCAACAACUAUUUAUUGAGCACACGCUAUGUGCAGGAUACUGUUCUCAUCACUAGAGAUGGAACAGUGAACAAAACUGACAAAAAUUCCUACCCUGUGGAACUUACGGUCCAGCCGGAGGUGAGGUAAUAAACAAUAAACAUCAUAGUGACUAGUUCUUGUGGUAUGUUAGAAGAUGGUAAGUGCUAUGGGAAAAAAUAAAGCAGAGAAAGGAGAGGAUCAGAGGUAAAAGGGUUGGAGGGUUGGUUACAUUAUUAAGGGUGUUCAGGGAAGACCUCAUUUGAUUUUUGUUUUGUUUUGUUUUCUUUUGUGUGUGUGUGUGUGUUUUUUGCAAGGAAGAUUGGCCCUGAGCUAACAUCUAUUGCCAAUCUUCCUCUUUUUGCUUGAGAAAGAUUGUCAGUGAGCUAACAUCUAUGCCAAUCUUCCUCUAUUUUGUAUGUGGGAUGCCGCCACAGCAAGGCUUGAUGAGUGGUGUGUAGGUCUGUGCCUGGCAUCUGAACCUGGAAACCCCAGACCACUGAAGCAGAGCAUGCAAACUUAACCACUACAUGGCCAGGCCAGCCCCAGACCUCAUUUGAAAGGUAUCAUUUGAGCAAAGACUUCAAGAAGGUUUCUUUGGGUCAGGAGCAACUUAGCUGAGCAGUGCUGGCUUGAGAUCUCUCAUGAAGGGUCAGUCAAGAUGUCAGGUGGAGCUGCAGUCCUCUGAAAGUUCAACGGAGGCUGAGAUCCCCUUUCAAGGUGGCUCACUCACAUGGCUGAUGCCUCAGUUCUCUUCAGGCUCCGUUCCCCAAGGCUGCUUGAGUAUCCUCAUAACUUGGUGGCUGGCUUACCCCAGAAUGAAUGAUUCAAGAAGGAGAGCACCAAGUGGAAGCUACGUCCUGGAAAGUAUGGUAGCAUCUUUUCCACCAUCUGUUGGUUAUCUGUGAGUCACAGUGGAGGAAGAGAACUUCUCUUUCCCAAUAGUUUCAACCACAGUUCUAGAAUUGUUUCCCAGUAGCUUUGCCUGGGUCAUCAUCACUCUGGCCAAACAUGAGUCUUGUGCUAGUCCUUGGAGCUGAGAGAUGAGGUCAGUUCCAUCUGAAACACAUGGACUGAAAGUGGGAGAGAGAGAGUUCCCCAAAGGGAAAUCAGGGUAUUGUUACCAGAAGAAGAAGGAAUAGAUACCAGACAAGCAAAAAUAAAAGAUGUCCACUAUAGUGCCUCUGCGUUAUUGGAAAUUGUUAUGGAAAGUGUGCAUUCCUUUUAUGAAAAAACUUACAUUAAAGACAAAAAAGUUUAAAGAUAUUAACUGUCAUCUCUGCAAAGUGCAAUUACAGUAAAAUUUCUCCCAGUUUUCUAUUUAUUCCAAAUUUCCUUUCAUGGGUAGGUAUUACAUUUUUUUUCCCGCUUUUUCUCCCCAAAUCCCCCCCAAUACAUAGUUGUAUAUUUUAGUUGUAGGUCCUUCUAGUUGUGGCAUGUGGGAUGCCACCUCAACAUGGCUUGAUGAGUGGUGCCAUGUCUGCCCCUAGGAUCCAAACCAGUGAAACCCUGGGCCAACGAAGUGGAG
Long non-coding RNA from Equus caballus (horse), 2488 nucleotides. NCBI's taxonomy places the organism in Eukaryota, Metazoa, Chordata, Mammalia, Perissodactyla, Equidae. The record is from Ensembl.